AAGAAAGACAUAGUGAUUAUGGUGUUGGCUUGAAACCAAUUAGAGAGGGUUCAAUUCCUUCCUUUCUUG
This 69-nucleotide transfer RNA is filed under the name Neophocaena asiaeorientalis. Its description in RNAcentral is "tRNA-Ser". It matches the Rfam family "tRNA". Rfam says of the family: Transfer RNA (tRNA) molecules are approximately 80 nucleotides in length. Their secondary structure includes four short double-helical elements and three loops (D, anti-codon, and T loops). Further hydrogen bonds mediate the characteristic L-shaped molecular structure. tRNAs have two regions of fundamental functional importance: the anti-codon, which is responsible for specific mRNA codon recognition, and the 3' end, to which the tRNAs corresponding amino acid is attached (by aminoacyl-tRNA synthetases). tRNAs cope with the degeneracy of the genetic code in two manners: having more than one tRNA (with a specific anti-codon) for a particular amino acid; and 'wobble' base-pairing, i.e. permitting non-standard base-pairing at the 3rd anti-codon position. RNAcentral also lists the same sequence under 1 other name. Lineage: Eukaryota; Metazoa; Chordata; Mammalia; Artiodactyla; Phocoenidae. The record is from RNAcentral.